GCCGUCUUGGUUCGUCUUCAGCACUCUGGUCUGGUUGAAAUAAAGCUUUAAUUCACCCAUUCACAUGUGGAGAUAUGCUGCUCCAUACACGAUAAAAGUCCUGAUUAUUCAAAUGGAGCCUGGUGUUGCAUUUAUGACAUUAAAA
Long non-coding RNA from Etheostoma cragini (Arkansas darter), 145 nucleotides. RefSeq lists it as uncharacterized. The transcript is spliced from 3 exons. The record is from RefSeq and is a predicted model, not a curated record. NCBI's taxonomy places the organism in Eukaryota, Metazoa, Chordata, Actinopteri, Perciformes, Percidae.